This 1057-nucleotide long non-coding RNA is filed under the name Homo sapiens (human). RNAcentral describes it as "HSALNT0296574". Lineage: Eukaryota; Metazoa; Chordata; Mammalia; Primates; Hominidae. The record is from RNAcentral.
AGGUCCUUGUAUGUUAGGCUGGUCUCAAACUCCUGGCCUCAAGCGAUCCUCCUACCUUGGCGUUCUAAAGGGAUUACUGGUAUAAGCUACUGCACCUGGCCUAUUUGUUGUUAAAUGAAAACAUAGUCUUCCUUAGGAGGAUAUUCUCUCCCACAAGUACCUUGAUGUGCAUGAGUGUUAGAAUACUACUACAUUGUAGAAUGAGGUGGGAAGAAAGUGAGAUCCUUUGAUAAAACAGAAAUCUUAAAGAACUGUAAUAAGAAUUGACAUCAGGACUCCCAUGGUACAUAUAUUGGUAUGUGAAAAAAUAAUGGCAGAAAAUGUCCCAAACUGAUGAAAAUCUUAAUCUACACAUCAAAAAAGCUCAACAACUCCAAGUAGAAUAAGCUGAAAGAGGUACACACCUACACAUGUAUUAGUCAAACUGUCAAAGAUAAAAAUGAAUCCCAAAAGCAGCCAGCAAAAAUGAUUCAUCACAUACAAGGGAUCUGCAAUGAAAUGAACAGCUGACAUAUGAUCUGAAACUAAGAAGGCCAAAAAAGUUGGAUGACAUAUUUAAAGUGCUAAAAGAAAAAGAAUCUCACACAAAAAUUCUAUAUUGAGCAAAAUUUUCUUUCAGAAGUGAAGGGGAGUUUAAGACAUUCUCAGAUAAACAAAAACUGAGAAAAUUUACUGCUAGCAGAUCUCCCUCACAAGAAAUAGUAUAGGGAAUUCUUCAGGCAAAAUUAAACAACACUAGAGAGUAACUUGAAUCCACACAAAGAAAUAAAGAGCAUAAGUAAAGUUAAGUACAUGGUGAAAUUGAGUUUGAUAUUGUCCAGUCUGAGGAACAAAAAGAAAAAAAAGCGUGAAGAAAAAUAAACAGUUUAAGAGUCCUAGGGAUCUGGUGAGAGGUAAUUGAAUCAUGGGGUAGUUCUUCCAUGCUAUUGUCAUGACAGUGAUUAAGUUCUCAUGAGAUCUGAUGGUUUUAUAAGGGCUUCUCCCUUCACUCAGCUUUCAUACUUCUCCAUGCUGCCGCCAUGUGAAGAAGGAUGUGUUUGCUUUCCCUUCCACCAUG